This 187-nucleotide ribosomal RNA is filed under the name uncultured bacterium. RNAcentral's name for it is "partial 16S ribosomal RNA". It matches the Rfam family "Bacterial small subunit ribosomal RNA", at positions 1316 to 1500 of the family's 1533-position model. The record is from RNAcentral.
CCACACGAAGCUGGAAUCGCUAGUAAUCGCGGAUCAGAAUGCCGCGGUGAAUACGUUCCCGGGUCUUGUACACACCGCCCGUCACACCAUGGGAGUCAGCAACGCCCGAAGUCAGUGACCCAACCAUUAUAGGAGGGAGCUGCCGAAGGCGGGGCAGGUGACUGGGGUGAAGUCGUAACAAGGUAUC